GGCCCGCAAGGGUGCCGGCGAGCGGCGGACGGGUGAGCAAUACAUAGGAAUCUACCUUAGAGCGGGGGAUAGCCCGGGGAAACCCGGAUUAAUACCGCAUGAUGUCGAGAGACCAAAGUGGGGGAUCGUAAGACCUCACACUCUGAGAUGAGCCUAUGUCGGAUUAGCUAGUUGGCGGGGUAACGGCCCACCAAGGCGACGAUCCGUAGCUGGUCUGAGAGGACGAUCAGCCACACCGGAACUGAGACACGGUCCGGACUCCUACGGGAGGCAGCAGUGGGGAAUAUUGGACAAUGGGCGAAAGCCUGACGCAGCGACGCCGCGUGGGUGAUGAAGGCCUUCGGG
Molecule: ribosomal RNA, 345 nt
Filed under: uncultured bacterium
Lineage: Bacteria
Description: bacterial SSU rRNA
Rfam family: Bacterial small subunit ribosomal RNA
Source: RNAcentral